UACGUAGGGUGCAAGCGUUGUCCGGAAUUAUUGGGCGUAAAGAGCUCGUAGGCGGUCUGUCACGUCGGCUGUGAAAACCCGAGGCUCAACCUCGGGCCUGCAGUCGAUACGGGCAGACUAGAGUUCGGUAGGGGGAGACUGGAAUUCCUGGUGUAGCGGUGAAAUGCGCAGAUAUCAGGAGGAACACCGGUGGCGAAGGCGGGUCUCUGGGCCGAAGUGACGCUGAGGAGCGAAAGCGUGGGGAGCGAACAGG
Molecule: ribosomal RNA, 253 nt
Filed under: uncultured bacterium
Lineage: Bacteria
Description: partial 16S ribosomal RNA
Rfam family: Bacterial small subunit ribosomal RNA
Source: RNAcentral